RNAcentral lists this ribosomal RNA (417 nucleotides) under uncultured Gammaproteobacteria bacterium. RNAcentral's name for it is "bacterial SSU rRNA". It matches the Rfam family "Bacterial small subunit ribosomal RNA", at positions 9 to 426 of the family's 1533-position model. The record is from RNAcentral. Lineage: Bacteria; Pseudomonadati; Pseudomonadota; Gammaproteobacteria.
GAGUUUGAUCAUGGCUCAGAUUGAACGCUGGCGGCAUGCCUAACACAUGCAAGUCGAACGGCAGCACAGCCCGCAAGGGUGGGUGGCGAGUGGCGGACGGGUGAGGAAUGCGUCGGAAUCUGCCCAGUCGUGGGGGAUAACUAGCCGAAAGGUUAGCUAAUACCGCAUGCGACCGAGAGGUGAAAGCGGGGGACCGCAAGGCCUCGCGCGAUUGGAUGAGCCGACGCCGGAUUAGCUUGUUGGUGGGGUAAAGGCCUACCAAGGCGACGAUCCGUAGCUGGUCUGAGAGGAUGAUCAGCCACACUGGAACUGAGACACGGUCCAGACUCCUACGGGAGGCAGCAGUGGGGAAUAUUGGACAAUGGGCGCAAGCCUGAUCCAGCAAUGCCGCGUGUGUGAAGAAGGCCUUCGGGUUGU